This is a non-coding RNA of Trachemys scripta elegans, 1545 nucleotides long. The record is from the annotation of a RefSeq genome assembly. Lineage: Eukaryota; Metazoa; Chordata; Testudines; Emydidae.
AUGGACCCCGCUCAGAUGUACGCUGUUGUUGUGAGCAUCACAAACACCUCGCGCAUUCUCCUGCGGUAUUGGCAGAGCCUAGCCAAGAGUCACCGUGCGGAAGAAUAUGAUGCCACACAAACAGCUGUGCUGGAAGCCAUGGAAUGGAGCAAUUCGCACACGCUGGCAGCGGCAGCCGGGCUUGUUGACACAGUGGAACGCCUCUUCUGGGCCUGGGAAACAAGCACAGACUGGUGGGACCGCAUCGUGAUGUGGGCUACAAACAAUGUGGAUACAGAUAAACUCAUCUUCGGGAAAGGGACCACUGUCACAGUAGAACCAAAAAAUCCAGGGACUUCCAGUCCAUCCGUCUUUGUUGUGAAAUCUGCACCGCCAAAACAAAGCGAUGGCCAAAAGUUGACGGCGGCUUGUUUAGCUAAGGAUUUCUACCCCAAGGCCAUAGAAGUAAACAUGCGUCCUGAGACAGACUCGGUAUACAAAUCGAAAGAAGGCAUUCUCUCUUCAAAUGGGAAAUACAGCAUGAUCCAGGUGGUGAAGGUUGACCCGAAUGAAAAAGUGGAGUGCUUUGUUAAACACGUCGAAGAAUAUUUUAAUAAAACGCAGCCUCAAUCAGCUCCCAUCUCGGCCCCAAUCAAUAACACUCAAGUGUGUGAAUCUUCAAAUCCCACGUUCGAAGAGCCAAACAUGGAAAAAGUGAACAUGCUGUCAGUGACUGUGCUGGGUCUGCGAGUUCUGCUUGCCAAAAGCAUCGCCUUCAACAUGCUCAUGACGGUCAAGUUGUUCAUUUUCUGAGGUUGUGACGAGUGAACCAGCAACGGGCUGAGGCCAGGAGACAGGGACCAGUGCCAGAGACUUCAGUUGGGGCAGAUAAACCAGUGUAACGCUAUUGGAGUGAGUUGGAACAAAUCCCCAACUGGUGUAAAUGGACGUAGCGCCUUCGGAGUCAAUGGGCCACAUCCCCAACUGCUGUCAAUCGGCGACUUCAAUACGUCUAUCCCAAUUAUCACCUUCUCCGGAUUUGUCCCCAGAUCUUCUUUUCCAUGUUUUAAAUUAUUCAGUUUUUUCUGUUCUCCUUUCCCUUCAUUGCUAGUUAGUUCUGACUCUUAACUGAUGUAUCACAAGAUAGUAAGUACUUGUAUUCUUUUUCAGUCUUCUGUUUAAUAGGAAUAUUUAGCGGGAAGUUUCCCUACCACAGUAUUACACUGAGGCUUCCAAAUCUCUUAGGCAGCUUUGCAAAAUCUCAGUUUGAUUUUUUCACUAUAUAAAAAUACUGUUUUAUUGCUUAGAAAAUCCAUUCACGGCUGAAGGAUGUUAUCAUUUUAGUGUAGAAAAUUUGCUCCAGGUCUGUCACUGGUAUAAAUUGGUACAACUCCAUUGACUUCAACAGAGCUGUGCUGAUACAUACCAGCUGAGGGUGUAUUGACAUAUGUAUUCACAAUAUUUUUAAUAGCUAGUAAUUUCACCUUGGAGAUCUGUGCAUUUAUAUGGAACCGGUGGUUGUAGCUUUCAGUGCUUACUACUGAAAUAAUAAAGGUGAUUGUGUAA